Molecule: ribosomal RNA, 497 nt
Filed under: uncultured bacterium
Lineage: Bacteria
Description: partial 16S ribosomal RNA
Rfam family: Bacterial small subunit ribosomal RNA
Source: RNAcentral
GAUGAACGCUGGCGGCGUGCCUAAUACAUGCAAGUCGAGCGAACAGACGAGGAGCUUGCUCCUCUGACGUUAGCGGCGGACGGGUGAGUAACACGUGGAUAACCUACCUAUAAGACUGGGAUAACUUCGGGAAACCGGGGCUAAUACCGGAUAAUAUAUUGAACCGCAUGGUUCAAUAGUGAAAGACGGUUUUGCUGUCACUUAUAGAUGGAUCCGCGCCGCAUUAGCUAGUUGGUAAGGUAACGGCUUACCAAGGCGACGAUGCGUAGCCGACCUGAGAGGGUGAUCGGCCACACGGGAACUGAGACACGGUCCAGACUCCUACGGGAGGCAGCAGUAGGGAAUCUUCCGCAAUGGGCGAAAGCCUGACGGAGCAACGCCGCGUGAGUGAUGAAGGUCUUCGGAUCGUAAAACUCUGUUAUUAGGGAAGAACAAAUGUGUAAGUAACUAUGCACGUCUUGACGGUACCUAAUCAGAAAGCCACGGCUAACUACGUG